RNAcentral lists this ribosomal RNA (267 nucleotides) under Epirinus sp. 1 HKW-2010. RNAcentral describes it as "partial 28S ribosomal RNA". It matches the Rfam family "Eukaryotic large subunit ribosomal RNA", at positions 688 to 921 of the family's 3401-position model. The record is from RNAcentral. Lineage: Eukaryota; Metazoa; Arthropoda; Insecta; Coleoptera; Scarabaeidae.
GAGUCAUUGGGACCGCAAUAAACCUAAAGGCGCAAUGAAAGUAAAGGUCCGCCUCGCGCGGACCUAGGGAGGAUGGGCCCGUUCACGGGCGGGCCCCGCACUCCCGGGGCGUCUCGUUCUCAUUGCGAGAAGAGGCGCACCCAGAGCGUACACGCUGGGACCCGAAAGAUGGUGACCUAUGCCCGGUCAGGACGAAGUCAGGGGAAACCCUGAUGGAGGUCCGUAGCGAUUCUGACGUGCAAAUCGAUCGUCGGAACUGGGUAUAGC